Molecule: ribosomal RNA, 253 nt
Filed under: uncultured bacterium
Lineage: Bacteria
Description: partial 16S ribosomal RNA
Rfam family: Bacterial small subunit ribosomal RNA
Source: RNAcentral
GACGAACUGCCCAAACGUUGUUCGGAAUCACUGGGCUUAAAGGGCGCGUAGGCGGCAGAUCAAGUCAGGGGUGAAAUCCGGCAGCUCAACUGUCGAAGUGCCUUUGAUACUGUGGAGCUAGAGGGAGGUAGGGGUCUGUGGAACUUCCGGUGGAGCGGUGAAAUGCGUUGAUAUCGGAAGGAACGCCGGUGGCGAAAGCGACGGACUGGAUCUCUUCUGACGCUGAGGCGCGAAAGCCAGGGGAGCAAACGGG